RNAcentral lists this small nuclear RNA (325 nucleotides) under Propithecus coquereli (Coquerel's sifaka). Its description in RNAcentral is "7SK RNA (ENSPCOG00000000931.1)". It matches the Rfam family "7SK RNA". From Rfam's summary of the family: 7SK was discovered as an abundant small nuclear RNA in the mid-70s but a possible function has only recently been suggested. Two independent studies have found that 7SK RNA binds the CDK9/cyclin T complex (known as elongation factor P-TEFb). The record is from RNAcentral. Lineage: Eukaryota; Metazoa; Chordata; Mammalia; Primates; Indriidae.
GGAUGUGAGGGCGAUCUGGCUGCGACAUCUGUCACAACACUGAUUGCCAGGGUUUAUUCAGCUGAACUGACUGGCUAGGCCGGUGUCCCCUUCCUCCCUCACGGCUCCAUGUGCGUCCCUCCCGAAGCUGCACACUUGGUCGAACAGGACAACCUUCCCCGAUAGAGGAAGAUCAUUCUUCGGUCAAGGGUAUCUGAGUAGCUGCGCUCCCCUGCUAGAACCUCCAAACAAGCUCUCAAGAAGGACACAUUAAGUUUAAGAACCACUAGUGAGAGGCAGACAUAUAUAGAUGGAAUUGAAUACAAGGGAACCCAUGGAAACAUUU